RNAcentral lists this ribosomal RNA (433 nucleotides) under uncultured bacterium. Its description in RNAcentral is "partial 16S ribosomal RNA". It matches the Rfam family "Bacterial small subunit ribosomal RNA", at positions 29 to 507 of the family's 1533-position model. The record is from RNAcentral.
AGCGAACGCUGGCGACAGGCCUAACACAUGCAAGUCGAACGGAUCCUUCGGGAUUAGUGGCGGACGGGUGAGUAACACGUGGGAACGUGCCCUUUGGUUCGGAACAACUCAGGGAAACUUUAGCUAAUACCGGAUGUGCCCUUCGGGGGAAAGAUUUAUCGCCAUUGGAGCGGCCCGCGUCUGAUUAGCUAGUUGGUGAGGUAACGGCCCACCAAGGCGACGAUCAGUAGCUGGUCUGAGAGGAUGAUCAGCCACACUGGGACUGAGACACGGCCCAGACUCCUACGGGAGGCAGCAGUGGGGAAUCUUGCGCAAUGGGCGAAAGCCUGACGCAGCCAUGCCGCGUGAAUGAUGAAGGUCUUAGGAUUGUAAAAUUCUUUCAGCGGGGACGAUAAUGACGGUACCCGCAGAAGAAGCUCCGGCUAACUUCGUG